RNAcentral lists this small RNA (91 nucleotides) under Mesonia algae. RNAcentral describes it as "Flavo-1 RNA". It matches the Rfam family "Flavo-1 RNA". The record is from Rfam by way of RNAcentral. Lineage: Bacteria; Pseudomonadati; Bacteroidota; Flavobacteriia; Flavobacteriales; Flavobacteriaceae.
UUUUAGAUAUUUGCGUUAGCGAUAGCAGCGGCAUCCUCCUUUUUUUGCGAUGCAGCAAAAAACGGAGAUAUAGCGAAUAGCGCGACCUCAC